CCCACUACGCGGGGCCGGCAUGGGUGGUUGGUUAGCAUCUUAAAUGUAUCUACCGGGCCUGUCAAAGCGGCAGCUGGUGCCAUUCAGCACUGGAAGUGCGUGUUCAGUGGGUCAGAUGUAGCACCACAUAUUUCCUCCCUCCUCACCUGUGCGAGCUGAAGCAGCUUGUCGCCAUGGAAGGCAUGGGGUUCUUCUUCAAAGAAUCUGUAGCAGGGUAAUUUUUUGAUAAGAAAUCCUAGCCCCUUUGAUUAGAAAAUACCUUUUUUGGCAUCGUGUGUUGUGCUAAUGGUUGAUUUGUGUGAAUGGCUUCCUUCCCAACCUCAAAUCCUAAGAAUCAGAUUUGGUUCUCGUUUGUUUAUGUAGGCUCGUGCCGCGCUUGGACGGAGGGAUUGUGUUGAGAUAUGCGGUUGCUCGCGCGGAGCUGACCGACGGCAGCACGAUUGGAACCGUUGAUGCAGAGGAUGGCUUGACUUCCUAUCAGUAGGUGUUAGGGGCUGGAUGUCGCGUUGGCUAUGGUGUGGGCGAGGAAACUGCUGAAAGGUUGAUCAGUGAAAGAGAUGCCGGCUCGAGUGGCCUUGGCGGCGAGGGGGUUGGUGAUUCCUGUGAUAUAGGCGACGCAAGGACUUCGUGUGACGCGGUGGGACAUGAUGCAGAUGAAGAGGGCGUUGGAGUGUGCAAUACGAAUGGAUCUUGUUGGACGAGAAGGUUAUUUUUCUCUCUUACUCAUGCUUGCACCAGUUUUUGUUUUUGUUCAUAAUUUUUUGAACUGCUGUACAUGUCUAUCGAUUUUAGUACACAUCUAGAUGCAAAAAACAAAUUAAGCUGUUUCAAUUGUUCUGAAAGUUGUUACCAACGUAUGCCUUUUUUCAUUUUAUGAGAAAGUAUAGUAUAACUGAAUUGUCUUUGAAAUAUCACCUCGUGUCUCGGGGGGGGGGGGGGGGUGGCCCCCCCCUUAGGUGGGCCUUAGGCCCNAAAACUUGCGGCGAGAGUUCAUCAAAAACUGUGAUUAACCAAAAAAAAAUUAGUCCGCUCAUUGUCUUAUUUUUUGGGGCUUGUUUAGAGUGCAAUUUGACAGAAUUCGUCCAAGGGUAAUAACAUGCCAUCGCGAUUGUGGCCGGUGGUUACAAAUACGCUUAAAGAUCAAAUUCGUCGUUCAUGGAGCAAAAUACCACUCCCUCCGUUCAAAAAUAAGUGACUCAAUUUUGUACUAAAGUUAGUGCAAACUUGAGUCUUUUUGAGUCACUUAUUUUGGGACGGAGGGAGUACAUCUCAUAGUUUGAUAAGUAGCGUAAAAAAUGAUUUGGUUGCAGCGCGCAACUUAGAUUCCUUGGUUUAUUUUUUUAAUUGUCUCCCUGGGUGGUUUGCUGUUGAUUUCAGGGUCAGUGUUGGCAAUGCAACACAUGAGAGGGAGCGAAGCGCAUGAGAGCGUGAGUUUGCCCAUGUUCAUCACUGUGGGUGAAAGCUGCUAGCACUGCAUGUCGACGGUGUUCAGCUGCGUGGCACGUCUGACCAGCGUGUCCUCGAGGCGUGCCCAACCUAAGAUGCAACUGUGUGAAAAUACGGAAUACGGUAUCGAGUGUGCACCCGUGAGAUCGAAUACAUGGCAUUUAGAGCAUCUCCAGCUUCGCGCCGCGCCCAAAAAAUGCGUUUGUCGCGCGCGCUUCGGCUGGUUUAGCGCGGGGUUAGGCGCUGCCUCCAGCAGCCGCGCUAUAAUGCAGCACGCGUGCCGCUCCAGCAAUGUCAAAAAAUGCAACGCGCGCACAUAUUUUUUAAUAAAUAUAUUGCAUUAAAAUAAAAAGGAUACAAAGUUAUUUUACAU
This 1819-nucleotide long non-coding RNA is filed under the name Hordeum vulgare. RNAcentral's name for it is "long non-coding RNA (HVUL_LNC004372)". The record is from RNAcentral. Lineage: Eukaryota; Viridiplantae; Streptophyta; Magnoliopsida; Poales; Poaceae.